UAAAACAUAAGAGAGUAUUUUAGCCUACGAAUAUAUGGAGAAAGGGAAGAGCAUAGCAGCAGGGUUUUUGGUGGGUUUCCCUGAUAGACCCAAAACAAGGACGAAAUGCGUCGACGCCUCCCUCUCUUGGCCCACUCCCUCCUCUUCAAACCCACCAUUAACAACAAUCCCCUACGCUUCCUCCCCAUCCUAAACCCUCCUCCCUCCGCCCCUCGCCGCUUCUCCUCCGCCACCCCCUCCAAAGACGACGGCGUCUCCCUCUGCUGCCAGAUGUGGAUCGACAACUUCCGCCACCCCGACCGCGCCGUCACAAACCUCUCCUCCUUCCUCCGUCGCUUCGACCUCUGGGUCCUCGCCUACCAGAAGGUCGCCACCGACGACACCGGCUCCUACACCCCCCGCUCCUCCCUCCACGCCUCCACCCUCCAAGACCUCCUCGCCCUCCGCAACGCCGUCCUCGACGCGAAAUUCAAGUGGGGCUCCAGGCUCAAGUUCUUCAUCAAAUCCCCCAAAGACAAAACCGACUACGACUCCCUCUCCAAGCGCAAAAUCAAAACCAUCCUCACCACCACACAACCUGCGCCGUUCCAGGACAGAAUCGUUCAUGAAGUUCUCCUUAUGAUCCUCGAACCGAUCUAUGAGCCGAGGUUUUCGCCAAAGUCGUAUGCUUUUCGACCCGGGAGAACACCCCACACUGUUUUGAGGGUUAUUAGGAGAAGCUUUGCUGGGUACUUGUGGUAUAUAAAGGGUGAUUUUAGUGUUUUGUUGGAUGGGAUGAAGGUGGGGUUGGUGAUUAAUUCUGUUAUGAGAGAUGUUAGGGAUAAGUUGGUUGUUGAUUUGAUAAAGGACGCAUUGGUUACGCCGGUUGUUGUUACUUCUGUGGAGAAGAAGGAGAAGAAGAAGAAGAGGAAGUAUCAGAAGAAGAGGGUUUUGGCCGAGGAUGAGCCUAAGCCCGAUCCUUAUUGGCUGGAUACGUUUUUUGGGUUUGCACCCGAGGAGGCGGAGAGGGUACCCAAUUGGGGGCAUUGUGGGGUGCUUAGUCCGCUUUUGGCCAAUGUUUGCUUGGAUGAGUUGGAUAGGUGGAUGGAGGGGAAGAUUAAGGAGUUUUAUGUUCCUUCCAAGAGUGAUGUUAUAUGGAAUAGUCCCGAGGAGGAGCAGGGGAACACGUCGUGGCCGGAGUUCGUGCCCACGAGUGGGCCGGAUAAGACGAGGAAGAUGGAUUUUGUGAGGUAUGGAGGGCAUGUCUUGAUUGGUGUUCGAGGGCCUAGGGCAGAUGCGGCUGCGUUGAGGAAGCAGUUAAUUGAGUUUUGUGAUCAGAGGUUCAUGCUCAAGCUUGAUAAUGAGAGCCUCCCUAUAGAGCAUAUAACCAAAGGGAUCAUGUUUUUGGACCAUGUGUUGUGUAGGAGGGUUGUGUAUCCAACUCUUAGGUACACUGCCACUGGUGGUAAGAUCAUAAGUGAGAAGGGCGUGGGGACGCUGUUGUCGGUCACGGCGAGCUUGAAACAAUGUAUUAAGCAGUUUAGGAAGUUGAGUUUUCUCAAGGGGGAUAGGGAUCCGGAUCCCCAGCCUUGUUUUAGGAUGUUUCAUGCCACGCAGGCACACACCAAUGCUCAAAUGAACAAGUUUUUGUCAACCAUGGUUGAGUGGUAUAGAUAUGCAGACAAUAGGAAGAAGAUUGUGAACUUCUGUUCUUAUAUCAUAAGAGGCUCCCUUGCUAAGCUGUAUGCUGCAAAAUACAAGCUUCGGUCGCGUGCAAAAGUGUACAAGAUUGGUGCUCGUAACCUGAGCCGUCCAUUGAAGGAGAAAAAAGGGCAGUCUCCUGAGUACCAUAAUUUGCUGAGGAUGGGUCUUGCCGAGUCAAUAGACGGGCUACAAUAUACGAGGAUGUCUCUUGUGCCUGAGACCGAUUACUCCCUGUUCCCUAGUAAUUGGAGGCCUGACCAUGAAAAGUUGUUACUAGAAUACAUAAAACUGGAAGAUCCAAAAACUUUGGAGGAACAACGGGAUUGCAUCAGAGAACAAGGUCUUGUUUCACCUCAAGACUAUAUUUCAAUGCUCGUGUGGAAUUAUAAAAGGAACUCUCUUCCUAUGGACCAGCUCUCCUUAGUAAGGAGCAAUGAAAGUGUUGUAGGAAAUCAGCAUUUGCUAGUUGGCUCAAACCAGGAUGACCAGGACCACACAAACCAAGAAGAAGAAAAUGAUGGAAGGAUGAAUGCAGCACAAAUGUAACACAAAGGUUUUGUAAUUUGCACUCACUAAGCAAUACUAUUUUUGUAUGCGGUCUUUAAAUAGGAUCUUUCAAGAGGCUUUGGACACAUUGAGAAUUUGAGAUAUAGGUUUUUCAUUUAGUUCCCUUAUUCCCUCGCUUGCUUGCACAAGUGGUGUUAACCUAUUAUACUUGAUCUUUGGGUGGUAAACCAUUUUGCUCCCUUUUCUUUUGUUCUUUUGCUUUCCUCAUCUUCUAACAUGAAAUGUAGUUAUUAAAAUGUGUGAAGGAUGGUGACUGUUACAUAUAUAAAAACCAUUUAUGUACUUCACUCUGCAAAAUAAGCUUUUAGUAGGAUUCGUGGACUUGAUAUCAGAACCUUUGUGGCUGAGAGGUCAAUAGUUUGAUACUUGCCAAACUCAUUCAAGAAUUUCAGCAUAACAUUAAAGAAGGCCUGUGCAUUGUCCACUCAACAAGCCAACGUGUUUCAUGAGAGACAGUGUAUUAGAGAUAGAGAAAUUAUUCAUGUGUUUCUUGCGAUACAAUGGUGAAGUGUUUCAAAAGUUUACAUAAUUGAGUGCUCUUUGCAAUUUUUGGGUAGAAUCCAAUGUUUUCCAAUUAGGAUUUUUGCUUCAGUUUCAAGCUCAUUUGGUGCAGUGGUGUCAUCUUUGCAAGAUUCAGACGAUGCCACAACUUUCAUAAGCAAUUAGCUUGGUACAAUGAUAAUCAGUUCAUCUUUGGUUCAGUUUGGCAACCUCUUAGAGUGAUUUUGAAAAAUAAGUUGAUAUUAUGUUUCACCUUUCCACCAUGGAUGCUUGCCAGAGAAAGGAUACAAUAACUGAAGAAUGGAGAGCUCUGACGUGCUGGCAUCCACUCAGGCAAAAUAUUAACACUGCCACUCUGCUAAUGGGAACACUGACUGGGCUAUAAGGUGGCAAAAAUCCACGCACUUGAAAAUGUGGAAAGUAAUUCCACAUACUGUUCUGGAGUGCUAUAUCUGUGAGUCCACAGGAAGGAGUAAGCAGCUUUCUGUAAUAAAGUGUGUUCCUCGUGGAUGCAUAGCAGCAUAGGACAAGGCAAGGUGUGAAUUGAAGUAUUGAACUCCAACAAGAUCAUUUCAUAUAUCAUGUUAAUUUUGUAAAUUGGCUAUUUGUGAUUUGUCCAUACGUGCUUGCCCCAAUUCAUUUUUCUAAUGAUUUGAGCAUACCCGCAACUCUUAGUUCUUGAAUAGCACAUUUAUAUGUAUUUUUUUUCACUUUAUUUUCUGUACGGGCAACUCAAUGCUCUAAGAACUUCAAAGCAUUGUACUAGGAAGAAGCUCGUUAUACUACAUUAUGAGUUUCUCCUUUGAUUCCUCAUUUUAAAAUAAUAAUAAUUAUUAUAAUUUAUUUUGUAAA
Molecule: RNA transcript, 3603 nt
Organism: Glycine soja
Lineage: Eukaryota; Viridiplantae; Streptophyta; Magnoliopsida; Fabales; Fabaceae
Gene name: nuclear intron maturase 2, mitochondrial-like
Exons: 3
Source: RefSeq, a predicted model, not a curated record